GCGGAUAUGGCGGAACGGCAGACGCAGCAGACUCAAAAUCUGCCAGGGCGACCUGUGUGGGUUCAAAUCCCACUAUCCGCA
RNAcentral lists this transfer RNA (81 nucleotides) under Lachnospiraceae bacterium. RNAcentral's name for it is "tRNA-Leu". It matches the Rfam family "tRNA". From Rfam's summary of the family: Transfer RNA (tRNA) molecules are approximately 80 nucleotides in length. Lineage: Bacteria; Bacillati; Bacillota; Clostridia; Lachnospirales; Lachnospiraceae. The record is from RNAcentral.